Molecule: long non-coding RNA, 671 nt
Filed under: Phaseolus vulgaris (common bean)
Lineage: Eukaryota; Viridiplantae; Streptophyta; Magnoliopsida; Fabales; Fabaceae
Description: long non-coding RNA (PVUL_LNC003438)
Source: RNAcentral
AAAUUAAUUUGCAAACUAACACCUAUGCCUUAUUUGAUUAUUUCUAUAGGUGGACGUUUGAUCCAGGAGGACAAGCUUUGGCGAAGCAAAAGGUUGCUAUCCGAGAUCAAGUCUGUAGAUCUGAGGAUAGAUCUUUUCCCGAAGGAGGAGAUGAUGGACACCAUCCAGCCACAACCAUCCCCCUAGUUGAAGAAAAAGCUUUGGAUUUGAGGACAAAUCCUUUUCAAGAGGGAGGGGAUGAUGGAGGAGGGCCCAAGCUCACCACACGAUGAAAGCCAAGCCUCCAAGACUAGACGGUCUAGCCUAUGAUGAGGAGCGUCUAGACUCAAAAAGGAGCGUCUAGCCCAUGAAGAGGAGCGUCUAGGCCAUGAUGAGGAGCGGCUACAUAAGGAGCGUCUAGGCCAUGAUGAGGAUUCCUUCUAGACCGUCUAGCUUCACAUACACAUGGGUCAAAGCUACGGUUUUGGGAAGAGAAGACCUUUGUAAUUGUUACAUAAAGGCCCAUUAGGGGUGCUUAGUAAUUAGAGUAGUGUAGAAAGCAUAUUUGUGUGAACAUUCUAGAAAGACCAUGGAGGGGGGGUGAGCAUAAAAACUAGACACACCCCUCCCCAUGUGCUCAUUUGUGCACCCAUGUGCCAUGUGCACCCAUGUGCUUCACAUUUACAUUUCAU